GUGUCAGCCGCCGCGGUAAUACGGAAGGGGCAAGCGUUGUUCGGAAUCAUUGGGCGUAAAGGGCGUGUAGGUGGUCUUGUAUGUCUACCGUGAAAGCGUACGGCUCAACCGUAUUUAGUCGGUAGAAACUGCAGGACUUGAGGCUGGGAGGGGCUGGUGGAAUUCCCCGUGUAGCGGUGAAAUGCGUAGAGAUGGGGGAGAACACUCGUGGCGAAGGCGGCCAGCUAGACCAGUUCUGACACUGAGGCGCGAUAGCGUGGGGAGCAAACAGGAUUAGAUACCCUGGUAGUCCACGCUGUAAACGAUGGGCACUAGGUGCUGGCGGUCUUGAUCCCGUCGGUGCCGGCGCUAACGCAGUAAGUGCCCCGCCUGGGGAGUACGGUCGCAAGGCUGAA
RNAcentral lists this ribosomal RNA (395 nucleotides) under uncultured bacterium. RNAcentral's name for it is "bacterial SSU rRNA". It matches the Rfam family "Bacterial small subunit ribosomal RNA", at positions 505 to 898 of the family's 1533-position model. The record is from RNAcentral.